GAAAGAUUCAUCGGAAGAGGAUGGGCAUGCGGCGCAUUAGCUGGACGGCGGGGUAACGGCCCACCGUGGCGACGAUGCGUAGGGGUUCUGAGAGGAAGGUCCCCCACACUGGUACUGAGACACGGACCAGACUCCUACGGGAGGCAGCAGUGAGGAAUAUUGGUCAAUGGGAGAGAUCCUGAACCAGCCAAGCCGCGUGAGGGAAGACGGCCCUAUGGGUUGUAAACCUCUUUUGUCGGAGAACAAAACCCGGGACGAGUCCCGGACUGCGUGUAUCCGAAGAAAAAGCAUCGGCUAACUCCGUGCCAGCAGCCGCGGUAAUACGGAGGAUGCGAGCGUUAUCCGGAUUUAUUGGGUUUAAAGGGUGCGUAGGCGGUCUGUUAAGUCAGCGGUAAAAUUGCGGGGCUCAACCCCGUCGAGCCGUUGAAACUGGCAGACUUGAGUUGGCGAGAAGUACGCGGAAUGCGCGGUGUAGCGGUGAAAUGCAUAGAUAUCGCGCAGAACUCCGAUUGCGAAGGCAGCGUACCGGCGCCAGACUGACGCUGAGGCACGAAAGCGUGGGGAUCGAACAGGAUUAGAUACCCUGGUAGUCCACGCAGUAAACGAUGAAUGCUGGUUGUCCGGGUCGAAUGAGAUCUGG
RNAcentral lists this ribosomal RNA (640 nucleotides) under uncultured bacterium. RNAcentral's name for it is "bacterial SSU rRNA". It matches the Rfam family "Bacterial small subunit ribosomal RNA", at positions 202 to 842 of the family's 1533-position model. The record is from RNAcentral.